ACGCACGCUGGCGGCGUGCUUAACACAUGCCAGUCGCACGGAAAGGCCUCUUUCGGGGGGUACUCGAGUGGCGAACGGGUGAGUAACACGUGAGUAACCUGCCCUUGACUUUGGGAUAACUUCAGGAAACUGGGGCUAAUACCGGAUAGGAGCUCCUGCUGCAUGGUGGGGGUUGGAAAGUUUCGGCGGUUGGGGAUGGACUCGCGGCUUAUCAGCUUGUUGGUGGGGUAGUGGCUUACCAAGGCUUUGACGGGUAGCCGGCCUGAGAGGGUGACCGGCCACAUUGGGACUGAGAUACGGCCCAGACUCCUACGGGAGGCAGCAGUGGGGAAUAUUGCACAAUGGGUGGAAGCCUGAUGCAGCAACGCCGUGUGCGGGAUGACGGCCUUCGGGUUGUAAACCGCUUUCGCUCAUGACGAAGCUUUGUGUGACGGUAGUGGGUAAAGAAGCACCGGCUAACUACGUG
RNAcentral lists this ribosomal RNA (466 nucleotides) under uncultured bacterium. RNAcentral describes it as "partial 16S ribosomal RNA". It matches the Rfam family "Bacterial small subunit ribosomal RNA", at positions 29 to 507 of the family's 1533-position model. The record is from RNAcentral.